UUUUUAGUGCUGUCUUUAUCUCAUUUUGGUAUCAAGGUAAUGCUGGCCUUGUAGAAUGCAUUUGGAAGUUUCCCUUCCUUUUCUGUUUUUGGAAUAGUUUCGAGAAGAAUAGGUAUCAACUCCUCUUUAGAUGUUGGAGGUCGCUUAGUCC
This is a long non-coding RNA of Leopardus geoffroyi (Geoffroy's cat), 151 nucleotides long. RefSeq lists it as uncharacterized. Lineage: Eukaryota; Metazoa; Chordata; Mammalia; Carnivora; Felidae. The transcript has 3 exons. The record is from RefSeq and is a predicted model, not a curated record.